GACAAGACCACCGGACAGAAGAACAAGAUCACAAUCACCAACGACAAGGGCAGGCUCUCAAAGGAGGACAUUGAGAAGAUGGUCCAGGAGGCAGAGAAAUAUAAGUCUGAGGAUGAAGAGCACAAGAAGAAGGUUGAAGCCAAGAACGCCUUGGAGAACUAUGCCUACAACAUGAGGAACACCAUCAAGGACGAGAAGAUCGGAGCCAAGUUGCCGCCAGCUGACAAGAAGAAGAUCGAAGACUCGAUCGAAACCGCCAUCCAGUGGCUCGACAGCAACCAGCUCGCAGAGGCCGAUGAGUUCGAAGACAAGAUGAAGGAGUUGGAGAGCAUCUGCAACCCAAUCAUCGCCAAGAUGUACCAGGGUGCUGGUGCUGACGGUGCUGGCCCUGUUGAUGAUGAAGCUCCAGCUGGUGCAAGCGGCCCUGGACCCAAGAUUGAGGAAGUCGACUAAAUUUCUGCUGGGGUUGAAUUUAAUUUCGGAAUUUUAGGUGUUUUUGAACUGAAUAUUUUUAUGUUUUUUUUUCUUCAUAUUUUUGCCUUGGAAGUUAUUUAUCAAGGCCUUUAAGUUUCUUUUUUAAUUUGCG
Molecule: long non-coding RNA, 586 nt
Filed under: Prunus persica (peach)
Lineage: Eukaryota; Viridiplantae; Streptophyta; Magnoliopsida; Rosales; Rosaceae
Description: long non-coding RNA (PPER_LNC006627)
Source: RNAcentral